RNAcentral lists this long non-coding RNA (252 nucleotides) under Phasianus colchicus (ring-necked pheasant). RNAcentral's name for it is "lncRNA (ENSPCLG00000005817.1)". Lineage: Eukaryota; Metazoa; Chordata; Aves; Galliformes; Phasianidae. The record is from RNAcentral.
UUGAGUGAAACCUCUGUAAAUCUGCCAUUGGGUCCUGUUUCUUCCUUGAUCACAGCACAUCCCAAGUCAUCUCUGUGACAGAGCUUCCUUACUGGGGAAAUCUCAAGAUGCAAAUUCAUGUAGGUGGCUUUUGGAGCUCCAUCAAAAAGUGACCCAUCUUGAUGAUGCUCAACAUGCAAGCUGCCACUGAAUCACAGCCACAGCACUACAGUACUGUUUGAUGCUGGGUCUUGGGGCAAUGAAUGUGGAAUA